Non-coding RNA from Schizosaccharomyces pombe (fission yeast), 1224 nucleotides. Lineage: Eukaryota; Fungi; Ascomycota; Schizosaccharomycetes; Schizosaccharomycetales; Schizosaccharomycetaceae. The record is from the annotation of a GenBank genome assembly.
CCAUUUAGCGAGUUAUGACCUGCAAAGACAUCUUCAGGAAUAUCGGGAAUUGAAAGAAUUGAUUGCUCUAAAAAUUUCGGCCCCAAGUCCUUGGUGCCGUCCAGCGAUAGUUGGCUCAAAAACAUGUUCCACCAGUGACUUUGAGAAUGAAGUCUGUUAGAAUAUGUAGGAGAAAUAUCCCUAAAAAUGCUUUGUUGUUUUUCUCCUAGAGAGGGGAAAUAAUUUAAAAAGAGAUGAACGUAAUACAUUAGUUGUACUUUGGAACUAAGAAUUUGUGAAGCUCCAGGCUUUCUGGAAGAAAACCGAGUUUUAUUGUCAACAAAACUUAAAUCGUACAUUUUGAAAUUGAAGUAAUUGCGGAUGUCACUAUUAAAAUUGCUUUUUGAAGGGUUGUUUAGACUUAUUUCAUCAAUAAUGCCAAAAAUUGAGGACUCUUUGUAAUAUCCCCAGAUUGGAAACUCUCUUGUAAUUCCAUUUUUUUGUAAUAACAUAAUACCUUCUAAUUGCCUUAAUAAUCGUAAUGCCCAUGGUUCCUCCUUGGAUGUCCGAUCAAGCACUCGACGUUCUGAUGGAGGGGAGGUUUCAUACUCAAGUAUUUGAUGCAGCUUAAUUCCGCGUUCCAUCUUCGGGGUCUUUUUUUUAAUUCUUCUCAAUAAAUAGUAUUCAUGUUGCACUUCACACCACAAAGGUAAAACAAGGUCAGUAACCUAAUAAUAGGUUCUGUCAGUAAAUGAAAAACAUGCAAUUGAUUAAUGCUUGUAAAUGAUUAUGCUAAGAAUAGCAUUGUCUCAAUCCGCUAUUAUAAAUCUGUUGACAAAACCAUAAAAAAUCAUUCACAAACUUCAGAAAGACCUUACAUUUAAAUAACCUUUGUGUUUUCGAAACAGUUGGAAUAAUGAACUUUCUUUUAACAUUUCACAAACUGAACGUUGAUUAUUAGCUUGUCUGGUUCAUGACUUGAGUGAAAUAUAUCGUACCUUCGUCCUCUAGUUUAGAAAUUUCCCUGCUUACGAGCAAUUGUGGUGGAAUGCUCAAAGAAUAAUCCAAUUGGCUAAUAGUCAAUCUUUGUGUUUCAAGAUAGUCCAUAUAAGAGACUAAUUCGCUCAAAUCUUCCAUCUCAAAAUCUUCAUAUUCUUCCAUAGACUUAAUGUUUCGUUAGGAUGAUUUAUUCAGGUGCGGGUUACGUUAGUUCACACAUUUAAUAGAAUAAUUCUUUUUUUUAAA